Molecule: non-coding RNA, 25 nt
Filed under: Mus musculus (house mouse)
Lineage: Eukaryota; Metazoa; Chordata; Mammalia; Rodentia; Muridae
Source: RNAcentral
UAGAUCCCAUUCCUUUCAUCAUUUC